Molecule: long non-coding RNA, 1177 nt
Organism: Homo sapiens (human)
Lineage: Eukaryota; Metazoa; Chordata; Mammalia; Primates; Hominidae
Gene: MIMT1
Product: MER1 repeat containing imprinted transcript 1
Source: Ensembl
CACAGCAACAGUUUGGCGCGAAGGCUGGGGGCUGACGUCAGGGAGUGGCCGUGAGGGACCCCAAAGCCAGGUCUGGAAAAGGGGGGUGGGUUGGGUGGUGGGGGUGCAGCCCCCAAAGAAAUGGGGGUCGAAAUGGAGGAAACCCCACUGAGAUGCUCAAAUGUAAAACCGCUGAAGAAUAAAGGGACAAAUGUACACAUCUGUCUAAAUGAAAAAAAUGAAAAUCCUGGCCGCAAAAACACAUACAUUAACGUCUAAAGACCUGCAGGGAAGACAAGACUUUUCCGCCUGGGACACAUGAAAGACAUCGAGCUAAUUUCCUUAAUAAAUGAAGAGCUCUUGGAAACCAACGAGAUAAAGACCAAACCAAGACAGAAAAAUGGGCAAAAGGGAUAAAACUGGCAAUUCGCAAGAAAAUCCAAACGGCUGGCCGACCUGCGAAGGAAACAUCACGACCUGUUUGCAUAAAGAAAUGCAAACCUGAAACACCGGGCACGUGCGGUUUAGGGGAGCGGGCAGUCUCACACACUACUGAGUUGUUUCCCAGCAGCCGUCAAUACAGACCUUCCACUGCGCUCCUUUUAUGUCAGGAGAGUCCAAAUCCAGUACCUGUUUGCCACAAUGAGCCUGGGACCUCAACAUGCAUGGAGUGCUUCCGGACCUCAUUACCCAAGAGCAGUCAGAUUUUUAAUUUCCUCUGCCUUUUUCAAGAUCAUUAGUUCAGAAGGUUUAUGUUUUCAAUUCCACAUAUCCUUGCAUUUUUCUUUCAAGUUUUGACCCAUAUGGAUAUCUUAAAUAUUCCUAUUAUUGCAAGUUUAUAUUAAAAGGAGGUUAAAUUGUGAACUCACAAACUCAUAGCAUCAUAGCACCAUCUCAAUCAAAAGUAUUAUCUUCUGUGAACUACAACAGUUUUCACUUCUUUCGCAAGUGUGGAGUGACGUUUGCCUGAGGCUGUAUGACCUGUGAUAUCAUGACAAAUUGAAGGCCAAAGCAGAUGCGAAUCCAGCUGUUUUCUAUUAAGUCAAAUGCCAAGGAGAUUUACAAAGAUGUAAAAUAAUGCGCCUCUUCUCAAUAACCUUUGGUUUUGAAAAUUGUUAUUUUUCAUAAAAAAUGUUGCUUCCAUUAACCUGUAAUAGGUUUACUACCAUUAUUUUAAAUAAAAUACACAUUUCAAAUG